RNAcentral lists this ribosomal RNA (177 nucleotides) under uncultured bacterium. Its description in RNAcentral is "partial 16S ribosomal RNA". It matches the Rfam family "Bacterial small subunit ribosomal RNA", at positions 355 to 540 of the family's 1533-position model. The record is from RNAcentral.
UGAGGAAUAUUGGUCAAUGGGUGCAAGCCUGAACCAGCCAUCCCGCGUGAAGGACGACUGCCCUAUGGGUUGUAAACCUCUUUCAGUACCGACGAAGCGCGAGUGACGGUAGGUACAGAAGAAGCACCGGCCAACUACGUGCCAGCAGCCGCGGUAAAUCACUAGUGAAUUCGCGGC